Molecule: non-coding RNA, 587 nt
Organism: Camellia sinensis
Lineage: Eukaryota; Viridiplantae; Streptophyta; Magnoliopsida; Ericales; Theaceae
Source: RefSeq, a predicted model, not a curated record
AAGGUCAAUUGAAGUUAAAAUUGAUAUGCACUUAAUUUCUGAAUUCUAAUACAAAAUGCAUUUCGUGUUUUUCAUUAUGACAUUACUGUGCUUAUGGUUCUUGUUAUUAGAUCUCUGCAAGGAAAUAGGCUGACAGGGAAAAUUCCAGAGGUGAUAGGUCUAAUGCAAGCCCUUGCUGUUUUCCAAUUCAACUUACUCCUUGGUUCUUGCAGAUGAUGGUAGGGAAGACCUAUUUGAAAAAAAAGCCUUAUGAAUAGAUGGUCGUGUCUACUUCUAUAUUUACUUUGGUGUUUUUAACCUAUUUGUUAAUAUUUCAUUACAGGAAGUUACAAAAAAGGCCCAAGAAGAGGCUUCUGAGCAUGUGAGAUGUCUGGAAGAAGAUUUGGGAAAGUUGAGUACAAGUUUUUUGUUGAUGGAGAAUGGCGGCAUGAUGAGCACCAACCAUUUGUAAGUGGAAAUUAUGGGGUGGUGAACAGUGUCUUCUUAGCUAGGGAGCCUGAUGUGAUUCCUGCAAUUUAUACUCCAGAGACACCUGGUAGAUCUAGUAUGGAUGUGAAUAAUGAUCCAUUUUUUCAUUUUUUGGAAGC